UGACCCUUUAAGGGUCCUGAAGGAACGUUGAAGACGACGACGUUGAUAGGCCGGGUGUGUAAGCGCAGCGAUGCGUUGAGCUAACCGGUACUAAUGAACCGUGAGGCUUAACCUUA
Molecule: ribosomal RNA, 116 nt
Filed under: Enterobacter sp. kpr-6
Lineage: Bacteria; Pseudomonadati; Pseudomonadota; Gammaproteobacteria; Enterobacterales; Enterobacteriaceae
Description: partial 23S rRNA. Bacterial LSU
Rfam family: Bacterial large subunit ribosomal RNA
Source: RNAcentral